AGAUGAGAGAAACACCCCGGGCGGAGCCUCCCCAGCCCCGCCCACACCGUGCCUUCGUGCACACCACCGGGGCCUCGUGCCCCGGAACUCCUCACCGAUCGGA
Small RNA from Streptomyces vietnamensis, 103 nucleotides. It matches the Rfam family "Streptomyces RNA 5676". Rfam says of the family: Identified by deep sequencing of transcriptome at the end of exponential growth phase. Appears longer on northern blot than sequencing transcript. NCBI's taxonomy places the organism in Bacteria, Bacillati, Actinomycetota, Actinomycetes, Kitasatosporales, Streptomycetaceae. The record is from Rfam.